GCGGGGAGGUUGAACAUCCUGCAUAGUGCUGCCAGGAAAUCCCUAUUUCAUACUAAGGGGGCUGGUUGCAUAUGUAGGAUGUCCCAUCUCCCCGCCCACUUCAUCG
Felis catus (domestic cat) is the source of this 106-nucleotide non-coding RNA. Lineage: Eukaryota; Metazoa; Chordata; Mammalia; Carnivora; Felidae. The record is from Rfam.